RNAcentral lists this ribosomal RNA (465 nucleotides) under uncultured bacterium. Its description in RNAcentral is "partial 16S ribosomal RNA". It matches the Rfam family "Bacterial small subunit ribosomal RNA", at positions 28 to 507 of the family's 1533-position model. The record is from RNAcentral.
GACGAACGCUGGCGGCGUGCUUAACACAUGCAAGUCGUACGGUAAGGCCCUUUCGGGGGUACACGAGUGGCGAACGGGUGCGUAACACGUGCGUAACCUGCCCACAACUUUGGGAUAACGCUAGGAAACUGGUGCUAAUACUGGAUAUGUGCUCCUGCUGCAUGGUGGGGGUUGGAAAGCUCCGGCGGUUGUGGAUGGACUCGCGGCCUAUCAGCUUGUUGGUGGGGUAGUGGCCUACCAAGGCGGCGACGGGUAGCCGGCCUGAGAGGGUGACCGGCCACAUUGGGACUUAGAGACGGCCCAGACUCCUACGGGAGGCAGCAGUGGGGAAUAUUGCACAAUGGGCGCAAGCCUGAUGCAGCAACGCCGCGGGCGGGAUGACGGCCUUCGGGUUGUAAACCGCUUGCAGCAGGGACGAAGCUUUUUGUGACGGUACCUGCAGAAGAAGCACCGGCUAACUACGUG